CGCACGGGUGAGUAACACGUGAGUGACCUGCCUUUUAGACUGGAACAACUUACCGAAAGGUGAGCUAAUGCCGGAUGAGUUAUAUAAGUGCAUGUUUAUAUAGGAAAAGUUGGGGAGACCUGACGCUGAAAGAUGGACUCGCGUCCCAUUAGCUAGUUGGUAGGGUAAUGGCCUACCAAGGCGACGAUGGGUAGCCGGCCUGAGAGGGUGGCCGGCCACACUGGGACUGAGACACGGCCCAGACCCCUACGGGAGGCAGCAG
Molecule: ribosomal RNA, 262 nt
Filed under: uncultured bacterium
Lineage: Bacteria
Description: partial 16S ribosomal RNA
Rfam family: Bacterial small subunit ribosomal RNA
Source: RNAcentral